RNAcentral lists this ribozyme (73 nucleotides) under unclassified sequences. RNAcentral describes it as "HDV ribozyme from F. prausnitzii". It matches the Rfam family "HDV ribozyme from F. prausnitzii". The record is from RNAcentral.
GCUGCUCGAAACUUUGCACACCUCUCCGUGGUGAGCAGCAGGCAACGCUGAUAUAAGCGGCUAAGAUGUGGAG